GUACGGGAGGCAGCAGUGGGGAAUUUUGGACAAUGGGCGAAAGCCUGAUCCAGCCAUACCGCGUGCGGGAAGAAGGCCUUCGGGUUGUAAACCGCUUUUGUCAGGGAAGAAAUCUUCUGGGUUAAUACCUCGGGAGGAUGACGGUACCUGAAGAAUAAGCACCGGCUAACUACGUGCCAGCAGCCGCGGUAAUACGUAGGGUGCAAGCGUUAAUCGGAAUUACUGGGCGUAAAGCGUGCGCAGGCGGUUCUAUAAGACAGAUGUGAAAUCCCCGGGCUCAACCUGGGAACUGCAUUUGUGACUGUAGAGCUGGAGUACGGCAGAGGGGGAUGGAAUUCCGCGUGUAGCAGUGAAAUGCGUAGAUAUGCGGAGGAACACCGAUGGCGAAGGCAAUCCCCUGGGCCUGUACUGACGCUCAUGCACGAAAGCGUGGGGAGCAAACAGGAUUAGAUACCCGGGUAGUCC
This 465-nucleotide ribosomal RNA is filed under the name uncultured bacterium. RNAcentral describes it as "bacterial SSU rRNA". It matches the Rfam family "Bacterial small subunit ribosomal RNA", at positions 339 to 796 of the family's 1533-position model. The record is from RNAcentral.